UAUGAUAGAAAUAAGUAUGAAAAUAAUUAAUUUUUCGUUAACAAAAUCGUGUGUAAAAAUACAACGUAACGGACAGCCGAUAAAUAUAAAAAGGCAGUAAAAUAAUAGCCAACUCAUUUCCCUGAAGCUCUCGAAAGGUUAUAUUAAUGCUAAAACAACAGGAAAUUUCAACGUCAGCUAGUCGAGAAUAUUUUACUGUCAUUAUAUUAUUUGAAAAUUUACAGUUAUAAUCAUAAUAUUUACAUAAAAUUACUCUUCUUUUUAAUGUAAAUGAAACAAAAAUUAUAAUUCCUAUCAAUCUUAAAAAACUCCUGACUCCAAAACUACACCUGCAAUCAAAAGAAACGGAUACUUGGGGAAAAUUUGUGAAGUUGUGUGAAGAAACAAUAUAUCAUUUUAUCAUAAUAAUGUUAACAAUUGAUAGAUAAAGUUCUCCAAGUUGUUUAAAAUAGUAUUUCAAUCAUUAUGAAACAAAAUUAUUUAUCUACAUUAAAUAUUGAUGCAUUUACGCCUACUUAUUGGAAAUGUCGUAAGUGUAAUCCUAUCCGAAUGUGACGUAAAAUAUUACAACUAGGAAUAAUUCAUACUUUAUACUGUAAUUAUAAAGAUCUUAUCAGUAUGCGGAUCCUUAAAACAGGACUGUAAUUAUUCAUACAGGUUAACAUUUGUGUUUUCUUUUAUUGUAUCUAUUCAAAACGGAGAUAAAUCUCAUUUUUCAAAAUGUUUUAAAAUAUGUAUGUUAUAUACAGUAGUGUAAAAUGUAAAAAAACUCUUCAGGAAUCUGCAAAAAAAGAUAAGCAAUCGGCCUGAUACGGAUUAGUCAGCACUUCAAUAACUCAUCUAAAAAUACACAAACUACAUGCUAAUAAGUGUAAGCAGAUUGAAGAAAACUGGCUAUUUUGUAAAGUUAGAUAUUAAAUAUUUUGUUUUUUAAAAUAAAAUAGGAAAGAACGAGUUCUAGAAAGAGAGAAGUUGAGUAUAUUAAGUAGUUAAUUUCUUCAGAAAUAAGAACUGAUAAUGUUACGUGUAAUGAAAUCAUUUUUCUGUAUAUAAAGGUUAUAACUUAAACCAUUUAUAAUAUAUUUAAGUGCAAAAUUUUAAAUAAAUUACUUCCAAUUUUCAGAUCCAUUGCCCUUGGAUCCAUCUUAGACCCCUCUAAGAAGGGUCUAAGAUAGAUCCAAUGUGUCUACAGAAAGAGUAAAAUAUAAUAUUGUUUUAGAUAAUGACAGGAUCGUUUAAGACGUUGAGGGUCUUAUUCAAUAUCGAUUGCAGUCGAAAAUUAAAUAUAAACAAGGUUAAAAUUUGUCGUUUCUAUUAGUGGAUGCUCUUUGGGUGCGCGAGGAAGUGACAGCGCCCAUAUUCUUUGAAAGAGGAAAGGCGAAUCAAGAGGAAGUAGAAAAGGGAUAAGGAUGGAUAAAAUGAUUCAUUAUUCAAAUGAGAGGAAAAAAUUAUUUGAUACAAGAUUUUAUUUACAGAAUACACCACAAACAUACAUAUAACAGGGUCUAUGCUUUAAUGAAUUAAUAAUAAAAAUUAUACUAAUGGAAGUAAUACCACC
Centruroides sculpturatus (bark scorpion) is the source of this 1558-nucleotide long non-coding RNA. RefSeq lists it as uncharacterized. The record is from RefSeq and is a predicted model, not a curated record. The transcript is spliced from 2 exons. Lineage: Eukaryota; Metazoa; Arthropoda; Arachnida; Scorpiones; Buthidae.